Long non-coding RNA from Amphiprion ocellaris (clown anemonefish), 2418 nucleotides. Lineage: Eukaryota; Metazoa; Chordata; Actinopteri; Pomacentridae. The record is from Ensembl.
GUUUUUUUCAUUUUCUGAGACCGGAAGUGGUCAUCAGCAAAUGCAGAGCCAAACGACAAGAUUCUCAGAGGGCGGAGUCAGAGAGCAGCGAUUGGUCAGACCACAGAGAAUAUAGAAGACAGCGCGCUAGCUUAUCUAGUCUGUGUACCUAUGGUCGGCACGUCUGGUAGCGUCUCUGGCUGCUGUUGACCUUGUUUUUGGAGUAAAACACGGUGGAAGCUGAAUUAGUGAGGAUGACUCCUGCUCCUGUCAUCUCUAAGCUCCUCACACAUCUUUACCUGCACAUGAGGAAAAUCACUCCUGUAGAAUGCAGAUGUUCAGAGGGAGAUGAUGCCACAUCUGGUCCAGCUGAUGGAAGGUCUUGAAGUUCUCUGACUGGCCUCGACUGAAGACGGUCGUCUCACUGGAUUUAAGAUGCACAAUGAGGGACGUCUGCAGAGACUGAGAAAGAGUCUCACCACAUCCUUACAUGAGGAAAAAGACUUUAUUGAAGACUACAAUGAGAAAAACUAUCCAGACAGCAGACGGCUGCAUUCAAGUUUAGGCUGUUAGAUUGUUCCAGAUAAGACAAGUACAAGAUUCUUCAGAGCCGUUCUACCACAAGCCUGACAGGAAGAACUCCAACAGCUACUGAAUGUUCCUGUGGUUCCCUCAAGGCUACAGGAGGAGCCCUACGAGGACGAGCCGGUCCACCUGAUGGUGGCCAGUCGCUGUGGUUCAAAGCCAACACCGACUACGUGGACUUCUACUGGACCACACGGAGGCCUUCAAACCAGACCAACAAGUUCAGCGACUCCCCGACUCGUGGGUCUGAGGACGCCGCCGAGCCUCGGCCCAGCCGGCCUCCUGUCUGUGGAUGUUUGAGUGCUGAGAGGUUUGUGGAUCCAUGUGAACGUUCUGUGUUGAAACAGCAGCUUUGGACUCAGUAACGCCGGGAAAAACCAAGAGCUCCUUUAUUUGUGACUUCCACUAAUAAAACUGAUGAAAAUAAGUUUGCCAGGGUUCUGACUGAUAACACAUUAUUAAAUAAUGAAAAUAACAGUUUAAAUGUUCCUUUAAACAAUCCUUUUAGGUCUACAUUUCCUUUACACUGACUUCUUGGUAUAUGCACAAGUAUUUUGGGUGGAAUAUACCAUUAAACCUGAUGUUCAAGGGUUCUUCUGGGAAUAUACCAUUAAACCAACCUUUUAGGUAAAUAUUCCAAGAUGUUGGGUAGAAUAUACCAUCAGAUCAACCUUUUAGGUCUACAUUGGAAGAUUUUAGAGUAGAAUAUUACUCCAAACCAUCCUUUAGGUCUACAUUUAAGGUGGAAUACUCCUUUACGCCAAGAUUUUUUGGUGUACGUUGAAGUAUUUUAAGUGAAAUAUUCCUUUGAAUGAACUUUUUAAGUUUAUGUUCAAGGAUGUUGGGUGGAAUAUACCAUCAGACCAACCUCCAAGGUCUACAGUAGUGAAUUUUAGGUGGAAUAUACCAUUAAACUCACCUACAUUGGACGAUUUUAGGUGGAAUUUUCUUCCAAACCGUCUUUUAGUCUACAUUUAAGGAUGUUUAGGAUGGUAUAUUCUUCCAAACCAACUUCUCAGGUCUACAUUUCAGGUGGAAUAUUCCUCCAUACUAACUUUUUUGGUCUACAUUGAAGGAUUUUUUUCUGAACCACCCUUUCAGGUCUAUAUUUGGGGUUUUAGGUGGAAUAUUCCUUUUAACCAGCCCCUCAGGUCUCUUUGAGGAUUUUGGAUGGAAUACUAGGUUAAACCAACAUUUCAGGUGCAUGUCCAAGGAUUUUUGGUGGAAUGUUCCUUUAAGGUGGAUGUUUGAGUACCUUGUAGGUGGACUACUUCCUGAAACCAACCUUUUAGGUCAACAUUCAAAGAUUUAAGGUGGAAUAUUCUUUUAAACCAAACUAAAUUUCAUGUUUUGAUCAUUAUCAAUUGAGAAACCUCAAUCCAGACUCCCCAUAAUGACGUUUGAGAUUUAUGCUGCCCUUAUUUGUUUAGUCCAGACUAAAUGACAGAAAUCCACAACUGUAAUUUUAUUUCAGGACUCGGUUAUUAAAUGUCAAAACAAUCCAUGUGACUCUAAAAACUCAACAGCUUUACAAACUAAGAUUAAACUCUCCACAAGGAUCCAAAAUAAGUUGAACUUCUACGUGAGAGCUUGAAUUAUUCUUCAUCUACUUCCUGAAAAGUUUGGUCAAUAAAAAAGACAAAAACUAGUAUUUUCAGCUGAACUAAAGAUAGACUUUGUGAUUUUUCUGUUCACAUGUUGUGUUGUUGUAAACUUACUCUUUCAAAUAAAUAUCCUCCUAACCCCCUGGAAACCAGCGUUUGUCCUGUUUUUGUGUUGCUCCUUGGCGACCCUAGACAGCCGGGUCCUAAUGUUUUUUGAGCAACACACCAUACUAUGAUGUUUUUACAAUGA